Molecule: long non-coding RNA, 873 nt
Filed under: Elaeis guineensis (African oil palm)
Lineage: Eukaryota; Viridiplantae; Streptophyta; Magnoliopsida; Arecales; Arecaceae
Description: long non-coding RNA (EGUI_LNC007141)
Source: RNAcentral
ACUUCAGUGAGCCAUGUCAGCUUUAGUAGGCCAUGUCGGCUUUAAUGGGCUGUAUGGGAUCCUCGGAGGUUUUGUCUCGAUUGACUUCAGUGGGCCAUGUUGGCUUUAAUAGACCAUGUCAACUUCAGUGGGCUGCAUGGAGCCCCCAUAGGGUUAGCUCCGAUUGGCUUCAGUGGGCCAUAUCAGUUUCAAUGGGCUGUGUCGGCUUCAAUGAGUUAUAUGGGGUCCUCAGAGGGUUAGCAUCGGUUGACUUCAGUGGGCCAUGUCGACUUCAGUGGGCCGUAUGGGGUCCCUGGAGGGUUAGUCAUGGUUGGCUUCAGUGGGCUAUAUCGAUUUCAGUAGGCCACAUGGGGUCCCCAAAGGGUUAGACUUGAUUAGCUUUAGUGGGCCAUAUCGACUUUAGAGGAUCGUGUGGAGUCCCUGAAGGAUUAGCCUCGAUUGGCUUCAUUGGGGCUUGUUAGCUUCAGUGGGCCAUACAGGGUCUCCUGAGGAUUAGCCUCUUUAUUUUCAUUAUCAUGGCCUCCACUUUGACUUGCCCAUGGGCAAAGAGCGCUAAGUAGCUGGUGGGAUAAAGCAUUGGCUCGGAUGUCCUCGAAUCUUUAUGUCGCUGGGACCUCCAGAUUCUAUGAUGCCUCAGAGAGCCUUUCAUCAUUUUCUCGAAUACCAAGCCAUCUUCAGUCCUUGAGCCCCAAGAGGUUCGAGGCCUCAUCCACAUGAGGGGUCCAGCAAGGGACCCGAUUCCCUUGAUUGGUUUGGUUUGGCUCCUCAUUGGAUUGUCACAAGCCCUAGGAGCCUUUCGUGGUUGCCUCGGAGGCACUGUAGUUGGGGCCAAGCCUUGUUCAACUCUGCCUUGGCUCUGUCCUCACCUCCUUU